This 484-nucleotide ribosomal RNA is filed under the name uncultured bacterium. RNAcentral describes it as "partial 16S ribosomal RNA". It matches the Rfam family "Bacterial small subunit ribosomal RNA", at positions 28 to 523 of the family's 1533-position model. The record is from RNAcentral.
GACGAACGCUGGCGGCGUGCUUAACACAUGCAAGUCGAACGAUGAAGCCGGAGCUUGCUCUGGUGAAUUAGUGGCGAACGGGUGAGUAACACGUGAGUAACCUGCCCUUGACUCUGGGAUAACUGCGGGAAACUGUAGCUAAUACCGGAUACGACCCUCGGAGGCAUCUCCUGGGGGUGGAAAGAAUUUCGGCCAAGGAUGGACUCGCGGCCUAUCAGCGAGUUGGGGAGGUAAAGGCUCACCAAGGCGACGACGGGUAGCCGGCCUGAGAGGAUGACCGGCCACACUGGGACUGAGACACGGCCCAGACUCCUACGGGAGGCAGCAGUGGGGAAUAUUGCACAAUGGGCGCAAGCCUGAUGCAGCAACGCCGCGUGAGGGAUGACGGCCUUCGGGUUGUAAACCUCUUUUAGUAGGGAAGAAGCGAAAGUGACGGUACCUGCAGAAAAGGCACCGGCUAACUACGUGCCAGCCGCCGCCGUAA